This 649-nucleotide long non-coding RNA is filed under the name Homo sapiens (human). RNAcentral describes it as "novel transcript, antisense to PROP1". Lineage: Eukaryota; Metazoa; Chordata; Mammalia; Primates; Hominidae. The record is from RNAcentral.
GUGGCAGCGACAGCGAUGGAGACUGCAGCUCGACAGGAAUGAACUACUUCCUCAAGCCUACCACCAACGUGCUGCUCCAUUGUCUAUCACCGCUGGGCCUUCCUCCUCAGUCAGGCAAACUGGAAGGAACAUGAGAUGGAAUCCGGAGGAUGGCUGCAGCAAUGCGGAUGUAGGAGACCAAGAUGAGUGCACAGGGAGCCAGGAACAGGACCACAGCCCCCAGGAACACAUGCUGAUUGUCAUGUAUGUGAGCAGGCAAUCUUCAUGAGCAGGUCAAAGAAAACAAUUAUCGGGGACAUGGGGAUAGUGUGGACCAGCUUUGUUGGCAUCCAAGUAAUCCUGACCUAUUUGUUACGGCGUCCGGAGAUAAAACCAUUCGCAUCUGGGAUGUGAGGACUACAAAAUGCAUUGCCACUGUGAACACUAAAGGGGAGAACAUUAAUAUCUGCUGGAGUCCUGAUGGGCAGACCAUUGCUGUAGGCAACAAGGAUGAUGUGGUGACCUUUAUUGAUGCCAAGACACACCGUUCCAAAGCAGAAGAGCAGUUCAAGUUCGAGGUCAACGAAAUCUCCUGGAACAAUGACAAUAAUAUGUUCUUCCUGACAAAUGGCAAUGGUUGUAUCAACAUCCUCAGCUACCCAGAACUGAA